This 1117-nucleotide ribosomal RNA is filed under the name Bacillus sp. (in: firmicutes). RNAcentral describes it as "bacterial SSU rRNA". It matches the Rfam family "Bacterial small subunit ribosomal RNA", at positions 62 to 1161 of the family's 1533-position model. Lineage: Bacteria; Bacillati; Bacillota; Bacilli; Caryophanales; Bacillaceae. The record is from RNAcentral.
UCGAGCGGACAGAUGGGAGCUUGCUCCCUGAUGUUAGCGGCGGACGGGUGAGUAACACGUGGGUAACCUGCCUGUAAGACUGGGAUAACUCCGGGAAACCGGGGCUAAUACCGGAUGCUUGAUUGAACCGCAUGGUUCAAUUAUAAAAGGUGGCUUUUAGCUACCACUUACAGAUGGACCCGCGGCGCAUUAGCUAGUUGGUGAGGUAACGGCUCACCAAGGCGACGAUGCGUAGCCGACCUGAGAGGGUGAUCGGCCACACUGGGACUGAGACACGGCCCAGACUCCUACGGGAGGCAGCAGUAGGGAAUCUUCCGCAAUGGACGAAAGUCUGACGGAGCAACGCCGCGUGAGUGAUGAAGGUUUUCGGAUCGUAAAACUCUGUUGUUAGGGAAGAACAAGUACCGUUCGAAUAGGGCGGUACCUUGACGGUACCUAACCAGAAAGCCACGGCUAACUACGUGCCAGCAGCCGCGGUAAUACGUAGGUGGCAAGCGUUGUCCGGAAUUAUUGGGCGUAAAGCGCGCGCAGGCGGUUUCUUAAGUCUGAUGUGAAAGCCCCCGGCUCAACCGGGGAGGGUCAUUGGAAACUGGGGAACUUGAGUGCAGAAGAGGAGAGUGGAAUUCCACGUGUAGCGGUGAAAUGCGUAGAGAUGUGGAGGAACACCAGUGGCGAAGGCGACUCUCUGGUCUGUAACUGACGCUGAGGCGCGAAAGCGUGGGGAGCGAACAGGAUUAGAUACCCUGGUAGUCCACGCCGUAAACGAUGAGUGCUAAGUGUUAGAGGGUUUCCGCCCUUUAGUGCUGCAGCAAACGCAUUAAGCACUCCGCCUGGGGAGUACGGUCGCAAGACUGAAACUCAAAGGAAUUGACGGGGGCCCGCACAAGCGGUGGAGCAUGUGGUUUAAUUCGAAGCAACGCGAAGAACCUUACCAGGUCUUGACAUCCUCUGACAACCCUAGAGAUAGGGCUUCCCCUUCGGGGGCAGAGUGACAGGUGGUGCAUGGUUGUCGUCAGCUCGUGUCGUGAGAUGUUGGGUUAAGUCCCGCAACGAGCGCAACCCUUGAUCUUAGUUGCCAGCAUUCAGUUGGGCACUCUAAGGUGACUGCCGGUGACAA